AUACGGAGGGUGCAAGCGUUACUCGGAAUCACUGGGCGUAAAGAGCGUGUAGGCGGGUAUAUAAGUCAGAAGUGAAAUCCAAUAGCUCAACUAUUGAACUGCUUUUGAAACUGUAUACCUAGAAUGUGGGAGAGGUAGAUGGAAUUUCUGGUGUAGGGGUAAAAGUCCGUAGAGAUCAGAAGGAAUACCGAUUGCGAAGGCGAUCUACUGGAACAUUAUUGACGCUGAGACGCGAAAGCGUGGGGAGGC
Molecule: ribosomal RNA, 249 nt
Filed under: uncultured bacterium
Lineage: Bacteria
Description: partial 16S ribosomal RNA
Rfam family: Bacterial small subunit ribosomal RNA
Source: RNAcentral